Molecule: ribosomal RNA, 2904 nt
Filed under: Yersinia pestis
Lineage: Bacteria; Pseudomonadati; Pseudomonadota; Gammaproteobacteria; Enterobacterales; Yersiniaceae
Description: bacterial LSU rRNA
Rfam family: Bacterial large subunit ribosomal RNA
Source: RNAcentral
UUAAGCGACUAAGCGUACACGGUGGAUGCCUAGGCAGUCAGAGGCGAUGAAGGGCGUGCUAAUCUGCGAAAAGCGUCGGUAAGCUGAUAUGAAGCGUUAUAACCGACGAUACCCGAAUGGGGAAACCCAGUGCAAUACGUUGCACUAUCGUUAGAUGAAUACAUAGUCUAACGAGGCGAACCGGGGGAACUGAAACAUCUAAGUACCCCGAGGAAAAGAAAUCAACCGAGAUUCCCCCAGUAGCGGCGAGCGAACGGGGAGGAGCCCAGAGUCUGAAUCAGUUUGUGUGUUAGUGGAAGCGUCUGGAAAGUCGCACGGUACAGGGUGAUAGUCCCGUACACCAAAAUGCACAGGCUGUGAACUCGAUGAGUAGGGCGGGACACGUGACAUCCUGUCUGAAUAUGGGGGACCAUCCUCCAAGGCUAAAUACUCCUGACUGACCGAUAGUGAACCAGUACCGUGAGGGAAAGGCGAAAAGAACCCCGGCGAGGGGAGUGAAAUAGAACCUGAAACCGUGUACGUACAAGCAGUGGGAGCACCUUCGUGGUGUGACUGCGUACCUUUUGUAUAAUGGGUCAGCGACUUAUAUUUUGUAGCAAGGUUAACCGAAUAGGGGAGCCGUAGGGAAACCGAGUCUUAACUGGGCGUCUAGUUGCAAGGUAUAGACCCGAAACCCGGUGAUCUAGCCAUGGGCAGGUUGAAGGUUGGGUAACACUAACUGGAGGACCGAACCGACUAAUGUUGAAAAAUUAGCGGAUGACUUGUGGCUGGGGGUGAAAGGCCAAUCAAACCGGGAGAUAGCUGGUUCUCCCCGAAAGCUAUUUAGGUAGCGCCUCGUGAACUCAUCUUCGGGGGUAGAGCACUGUUUCGGCUAGGGGGCCAUCCCGGCUUACCAAACCGAUGCAAACUCCGAAUACCGAAGAAUGUUAUCACGGGAGACACACGGCGGGUGCUAACGUCCGUCGUGAAGAGGGAAACAACCCAGACCGCCAGCUAAGGUCCCAAAGUCAUGGUUAAGUGGGAAACGAUGUGGGAAGGCACAGACAGCCAGGAUGUUGGCUUAGAAGCAGCCAUCAUUUAAAGAAAGCGUAAUAGCUCACUGGUCGAGUCGGCCUGCGCGGAAGAUGUAACGGGGCUAAACCAUGCACCGAAGCUGCGGCAGCGACACUUAGGUGUUGUUGGGUAGGGGAGCGUUCUGUAAGCCGUUGAAGGUGACCUGUGAGGGUUGCUGGAGGUAUCAGAAGUGCGAAUGCUGACAUAAGUAACGAUAAUGCGGGUGAAAAACCCGCACGCCGGAAGACCAAGGGUUCCUGUCCAACGUUAAUCGGGGCAGGGUGAGUCGACCCCUAAGGCGAGGCUGAAAAGCGUAGUCGAUGGGAAACAGGUUAAUAUUCCUGUACUUGGUGUUACUGCGAAGGGGGGACGGAGAAGGCUAGGCUGGCCGGGCGACGGUUGUCCCGGUUUAAGCGUGUAGGGGGAGUGACCAGGUAAAUCCGGUUGCUUAUCAACCCUGAGGCGUGAUGACGAUGCACCACGGUGCAGAAGCAGUUGAUGCCAUGCUUCCAGGAAAAGCCUCUAAGCAUCAGGUAACAUUAAAUCGUACCCCAAACCGACACAGGUGGUCAGGUAGAGAAUACUCAGGCGCUUGAGAGAACUCGGGUGAAGGAACUAGGCAAAAUGGUGCCGUAACUUCGGGAGAAGGCACGCUGGCGUUAGGUGAAAGGACUAGCUCCUGGAGCUGAAGCCAGUCGCAGAUACCAGCUGGCUGCAACUGUUUAAUAAAAACACAGCACUGUGCAAACACGAAAGUGGACGUAUACAGUGUGACGCCUGCCCGGUGCUGGAAGGUUAAUUGAUGGGGUCAGCCGCAAGGCGAAGCUCUUGAUCGAAGCCCCAGUAAACGGCGGCCGUAACUAUAACGGUCCUAAGGUAGCGAAAUUCCUUGUCGGGUAAGUUCCGACCUGCACGAAUGGCGUAAUGAUGGCCAGGCUGUCUCCACCCGAGACUCAGUGAAAUUGAACUCGCUGUGAAGAUGCAGUGUACCCGCGGCAAGACGGAAAGACCCCGUGAACCUUUACUAUAGCUUGACACUGAACAUUGAGCCUUGAUGUGUAGGAUAGGUGGGAGGCCUUGAAGUGUGGACGCCAGUCUGCAUGGAGCCAACCUUGAAAUACCACCCUUUAAUGUUUGAUGUUCUAACUCGGCCCCAUGAUCUGGGGUGAGGACAGUGUCUGGUGGGUAGUUUGACUGGGGCGGUCUCCUCCCAAAGAGUAACGGAGGAGCACGAAGGUUAGCUAAUCACGGUCGGACAUCGUGAGGUUAGUGCAAAGGCAUAAGCUAGCUUGACUGCGAGAGUGACGGCUCGAGCAGGUACGAAAGUAGGUCUUAGUGAUCCGGUGGUUCUGAAUGGAAGGGCCAUCGCUCAACGGAUAAAAGGUACUCCGGGGAUAACAGGCUGAUACCGCCCAAGAGUUCAUAUCGACGGCGGUGUUUGGCACCUCGAUGUCGGCUCAUCACAUCCUGGGGCUGAAGUAGGUCCCAAGGGUAUGGCUGUUCGCCAUUUAAAGUGGUACGCGAGCUGGGUUUAGAACGUCGUGAGACAGUUCGGUCCCUAUCUGCCGUGGGCGUUGGAAGAUUGAGAGGGGCUGCUCCUAGUACGAGAGGACCGGAGUGGACGAAUCACUGGUGUUCGGGUUGUCAUGCCAAUGGCAUUGCCCGGUAGCUAAAUUCGGAAGAGAUAACCGCUGAAAGCAUCUAAGCGGGAAACUUGCCUCGAGAUGAGUCUUCCCUGGGGCUUAAAGCCCCCUGAAGGAACGUUAAAGACUAUGACGUUGAUAGGCUGGGUGUGUAAGUGCAGCGAUGUAUUGAGCUAACCAGUACUAAUGAUCCGUGAGGCUUAACCUU